Molecule: long non-coding RNA, 244 nt
Organism: Coregonus clupeaformis (lake whitefish)
Lineage: Eukaryota; Metazoa; Chordata; Actinopteri; Salmoniformes; Salmonidae
Exons: 3
Source: RefSeq, a predicted model, not a curated record
UGAUGGGAGAAAAAGGAAGAGAUGGAGUUGAAGUACUGAGUUGGAUCCUAAAGUUAUUUGUGAACCCAACUAAGCUCAGUAAGUCAGAGAAAACAGUCUUAUGUUUGUGUUCACUGGUUAGCCUUUCUGAGUGAGACAUCUUUCUCCUGGAGAGAUGUGUUAUACUGUAUGGAGCCUGAGGAAGACCCUGGAGUCCUGAGCAGGAGGGACCAGGACGACUGAUCCGUGUAAAGGAAAGAAUGAA